GACGAACGCUGGCGGCGUGCUUAACACAUGCAAGUCGAACGGAAAGGCCCUGCUUUUGUGGGGUGCUCGGGUGGCGAACGGGUGAGUAACACGUAAGUAACCUACCCUUCACUUUGGGGUGACUUCAGGAAACUGGGGCUACUACCGGAUAGGAGACCCUGCUGCAUGGUGGGGGUUGGAACGUUUCGGCGGUUGGGGUUGGACUAGCGGCUUAUGAGCUAGUUGGUUGGGGAGUGGCUUACCAAGUGAUUGACCGGUAGCCAGCCUGGGAGGGUGGCCGGGGACAAUGGGACUGAGAGAGGGACCAGACUGCUAUGGUAGGCAGCAGGGGGGAAUAUUGCACAAUGGGCGGAAGCCUGAGGCAGAAACGCCGCGUUCGUGAUGACGUUUUGCGGGGUGUAAACCGCUUUCGCCUGUGACGAAGCUGGUGUGACGGUAAUGGGUAAAGAAGCACCGGCUAACUACGUG
Molecule: ribosomal RNA, 468 nt
Filed under: uncultured bacterium
Lineage: Bacteria
Description: partial 16S ribosomal RNA
Rfam family: Bacterial small subunit ribosomal RNA
Source: RNAcentral